CCAAAAUCUUUUCCUACAAACAAGAAACAAGGGACACGGAGGGCCUUUUGUACCCUGUAGGGCCCGUGGUGUCCUGCUCAGUUUCAGAAUCUACAGCUGUGAAGACACACAUGAUUUUGACCAUGGAACACAACCCGGCCACUGACUAUAUUAGCCAUGAGAUUGGAUGAGCUCAUCAAUGGUAUGAGUACAGAGAAGAGGUCCAAGGACUGAGUCAUGGGGCUCUCCAAUGGUAAGAAGUCAGCGAGAACAGAAGGUUAUCAGCAAAGAAGACUGAGAAGGAAUGACCAGUGUGAGAAGGAAAACCAAAAGUGUGGUAUCCUGGAGGCCAGGUGAAAAAGUAUAUUGGGUCUCUCCUUGAAGAUCUACAAGAAUGAGAGUAAGCAGUGGAAAGCCACGUUUCCAUUCUACAAACGAUAUAAUCAAAUCUGUAAAUGGGCAAAAGCACACACGAGACGCUCCAUAAAACUGUUGGCAAUUAUUUCAGUGAACAGACGCAAGUUGUGCACAAUUCCCCACAGCUGCCGCAGGUGUUGAAGGAAGAGAUUCAAACAACAGAGGGGAAAUAUCGAUCAUCUUUUUGAAUAUGGUGCUAGGCUACCUGCUUGGGUGCCCAGGAGGGGGUGAGGGAGGAAGAGUGCUGGUAAUAUUCCCACACAUGUUUCCCAGCCUAGAGGCUGGACAGCCACAUACCCAUCUGCUGCUACCAAAAAAAAAAAAAAAUUAAAAAAAGACAGGGCUUAAACGCAUGGGACAGGCUGUUUGACCUCUGAGGUUGCAAGGCUCUUGGCCUCCGCCUAACAGCUGACGCCUGGAAUAAGCAGGCCAGCCCCUCAUGGCCUCUGCAGGGGCUAGCACGAGGGUUCCAGCUGAGGGGUGGCUGCAGCUAUGGCAACAAAUGCCCAGGAAUGAGUUAACACCAGCCAAAGGGGUUAAUGGGAGAGGCAAGGGCUUUUAUACAAAUGUGUUGGGGAAAGAAAUGUGAUACAGCGGGAAUGAGGCCCAUUAAUAAAGCUAAGUGAUAAAAUCCACCACGAUUCUUAAAUUGGACUUGCCUACUUAAACUGCUUUUCCAAAUCAGUCUCCUGUAUUCUAGCUGUUCAUUGAGACACUAAGCUUACUUAAAGAAUAAAAACAAUACUAUAAUAUGCAGUGUAAAAGGAGAAAAUAGGAUAGGCAAACAAAGGAAGAAAGAAAAACAAGAAAUGUGUACAACUAUGUUCUGAAUAUGUUCAAACAGCUUGUUAUUACUAACAAUCACCACCUGACAAUAAAUUACCCCCCUACAUGUGGAUUACAAGCUGCAUUAUUAUGAUGCAUUAGAAUCAAUCUGAGUACUAACGAUAAUGGGUGGUUGGGUGGCUAAACAUGGCCCCCAAUUACUGCUGAGUGCCCUCUCUUUCUGUGGCUAAAAAACAACUGCCAUCAAUAUUCUCUCAUAGAGAAUGUUUUCUUAUCAGCAUUAUGUCCUCAAAACAUCCCUGGAAGGCAGGUCGAUAUUGAUGGGCUUUUUUGAAGAAAACAGGGAGGCAUGGAGAGGUUAAGUGAAAAUUAGCAGAAGCAGUACGACCAUCCUACAACAGAAUUUGGGUUAGAAAGAGAGCCAAGGUACAGAGGCAAAGGGCUUUGGACUGCUCCUUUGGUGAUAGCAGCGCCUACUGAAUGCAGUAGAUCAGACUUUUCAGCCACUCUCUCAGCUACAGUGAGAAGCGUAGAUCCCUUAAGCCACUACAAUUAGAAUAUCUGAUUGUAGCUCAAAGCACAGAACCACAGAGUACAGUUUUACUUCUGGCAGAGUACAAUACAACCUCAGAGUAAAAUUUCAUUUCCGAGAAGAAAAAAAGAGUACACUGGAAUCCAGAAACAGUAUAGUCCAUUUGAAUAGUAUUUCCUAGUUUCACG
Molecule: non-coding RNA, 1902 nt
Organism: Kogia breviceps (pygmy sperm whale)
Lineage: Eukaryota; Metazoa; Chordata; Mammalia; Artiodactyla; Physeteridae
Source: RefSeq, a predicted model, not a curated record